AUGACACUGAAGAUGAAGGAUCCAAGGAUGAUGAUGACUACAUGGAAGUUUCAGAUGAAGAAGACGAGGAUGGAGAAGCCAACAACAAACGAUGAUGACGACAUGAUUCGCACUAGGGUUCUUGAUCUGACUCAAGAAGAGGAAUCAGAUCUGGGAGGGCUCCUUCUGCUCAGCAAUGGGUUCAUAGUUUUUUUGUAUCAGAUUCUUACAGCGGAGCUCAUUUUCUCAAAAAAGGAGCAUAUUAAAGGAGAGAAGAGUUACUUGUCGAGAUCCUCGGACACAUUUUUAAUGUUGUUGUGA
RNAcentral lists this ribosomal RNA (300 nucleotides) under Triticum aestivum (bread wheat). RNAcentral describes it as "partial small subunit ribosomal RNA". Lineage: Eukaryota; Viridiplantae; Streptophyta; Magnoliopsida; Poales; Poaceae. The record is from RNAcentral.